This 18290-nucleotide long non-coding RNA is filed under the name Gossypium raimondii (Peruvian cotton). Its description in RNAcentral is "long non-coding RNA (GRAI_LNC005036)". The record is from RNAcentral. Lineage: Eukaryota; Viridiplantae; Streptophyta; Magnoliopsida; Malvales; Malvaceae.
UUAUCCACCAUCUUGAAUAGCCUUAACAUUCCAGGCCUCAAUAUCGACACGACUGGGUUCGAACGUAAGCUCCUGUCUAACGAUGGACCUGAGUGGAUGGGCCACGCUGAGAGGAGACUACUUCAAGCAAAACCAACAGAUUUGAAGCCUAACGUUGUGGUUGCUAAGGAUGGUAGUGGGAAAUAUGAUACCAUCACCAAGGCCUUGGCUGAAGUCCCUCCAAAAAGCCCCAAUCGAUUUAUUAUUCACAUUAAGGCUGGUACUUACAAGGAACAAGUCCUUUUACCUAAGGAGAUGACUAAUGUUAUGUUCAUCGGUGAUGGUCCAACUAAGACCAUCAUCACCAAUGACCUUAACUGCAUUAGGGAUCAUCCGCUUAAAACAUUCGGCACUGCAACGGUUGGUAAGUAGUAUUAUAUACAUAUAAGUUUUGGUGGUGAGGUGAGGUGACUAACUAGUAUGUAUGUUUGUGAAAUAUUGCAGGUGUGGAUGGGGCUGGUUUCAUGGCCAGGGACAUUGGAUUCGAGAACACAGCAGGACCUCCUGGUCAUCAAGCAGUAGCUUUUAGGGCAACAUGUGAUAUGGUCAUCAUGUUCAAUUGUCAUUUCAAUGGAUACCAAGACACCCUUUAUGCUCACAAACAGAAACAAUUUUAUAGGGAUUGUCUCAUCAGCGGGACAGUGGAUUUCAUUUUCGGGGAUGCGGCGAGUGUGUUCCAAAAUUGUCUGAUCAUUGCGAGGAAGCCCGGUGAAAACCAAAACAACAUGAUUACAGCCCACGGAAGGAAAUUCCCAUACACUCACUCAGCCAUUGUGCUUCAAAAUUGUACCAUCUCAGGCGCCCCUGACUACCUCCCGGUGAAGGACAAGAGCAAGACGUACCUUGGUCGUCCUUGGAAAGCUUUGGCGAGGACCAUCAUAAUGCAAAGCAAUAUUGAUGACAUCAUUACACCAGAGGGUUACUCCCCCAUGGAAGGCACCGUAGGACUAGACACCGGUUACUUUGUAGAGUUCCAAAAUAGGGGACCAGGGGCUAAAACCGAAGGCAGGGUCAAAUGGCCAGCUAUCAAGACAAUCGAUAUAAAUGAAGCCAAGAAAUGGACUCCUGGCGUCUUUCUUGAAACUGAAACUGACAAAUGGAUUUCGCAAACCGGCACUCCUUGUUAUCCUGACAUGGUCCCUGGAGUGUAAACUUCCAAAACCAUCGCCAUUAGUAUUCUUUUAUUAUCAUUAUUAGUAAUCAUGUUGUCGAUUAUUGAUUAAGUUAAACAAUUUUUUUCCUAUGUUUUAUUUAUAUUAAUAAUAUAUUCUUUAUUAUGGAAGGUGCAAACUAAAAUUAUUUUCUUAUUCCCCAACUAUAUAAAAAAAAUGUUAGAGAUAGAUAUAAAGUCUAAUAUGCUAUUAAACAAAAAAGAAACAAUAUUAUUAAGUUUGCUAUGUAUUUCAUUAAUUAAAAUAGUACAUGUUAAUAUAUUUUAUUAAUUUAUAUAAUAAUUUUUAAAAAAAUAUUUUUUAGUAUAUAUAAUUUUAAUAAUUUGUAGUUAUCAUUUAACAUAAAUGUUAUUUUAAUGUAUAAUAAACUAUUUAACAUAGAUAUAAUUUCAAUACUUUUAUUAUUUUAAUUUAUAAAUGUAAUUUAUAAUAUGCUAUUUAACGUAAUGUUUAAUAUAAAUAUUAUAUUUCAAAAUUAUAUAUGAUCUAGCGAGUGAAAAAAACUGAUGCAACACCCGGUUCGAUUUGUGCCUUUCUAUCGUUGAGUAUACUAACAACGACAACUUGGAGUCCUAAUCUGCUGAUUUUUAACACUUCUAGCGGAAUGCAAUAUAUGACAUCCGUGUCGGCGUACGACAUUCAUCCAAAUUGAAAAAUAAAAUUGUAAAUAUCAUUAUGUAUGAAUUUUUUUUACAAAUCAUUACGUAAUUAAUAUAGGUUUGAAAGAACAAGUUUCUAGCAUUGGCCUCUAAGCUUUAGCCUAACAACAACCUAAUAUGUUUCAACUCCUCGGGUAGUUCCAUGUAGCUCGACCCAUGGUUCCACCAGUACAAGCGAUAUGUUAGUCGAAACGUAUAAUAAAAAAAUUAUUGUAUUGAGUACGUAUUUGUUAAUAAAUGAUAUUUACCUUAUCACCAACGGGAGCAUAUUUGGGCCGGUCACAUUAGGAUGUAAAAUAAUAGUCGCCACCAGGACCACGACUACAGUAGGAAUAGACAACCAGCAAUCGAUGCCGCACUCAGUAUCGUGGCCCGACACAUCUCCCGGUAUAACAUGGACAAUACGAUAGAUUCCCAAUUUAAUUUCCCGCACUCAUUGAAGUCCACUAAAUGUAGUAGCAACCUUACGUGCAACAAAUUUCAAAAUUUGACGGGUAUUAAAAUGCCCCGAUUAACCUCAUGAUGUAUGCUUGGCGUAUUGUUCUAUGACGUCAUCCGUUCGGUCUACAAGGUCUUCAGGAAGCUUGUCGAAAUUAGCCUUUAACUAGUUCAUUGACAUCUACCCACUUUUGAACUUGUCUAGAACCUUCCACAAUAGUGAUUGGCAGAGACCCACUUUGCUUAGAACGACCGUUAAUCCAGUGGUGAUUGACCUAUCCACUGGCAAACCGAGUUGCAGCGUUACAUCGUCGAGUGUAAUUGUACACUUGCCGCUUAGAAUGUGGAAAGUGUGUCUUUCAGGCAUCUAUCUUUCCACCAAUGCAUUGAUUAGUGCCAAAUUGAGUUUGCAGCCCCUGAACAUUCGAGACGUAUGUAAGAAUCCAGCCGCUUGCAAGUGGCCACGAAUUUCAAGGAUCGCAGUCUUUCCCAUAUUAUGAAUGAAGCCCUACAGAAUAUGAUCAUCCACCUAUUUAUACAAUAAAAACAUUUUGAAAUUAAAAAAUAAUUAAGUUUAACAUUAUCGAAAUUAACGAAAUUUAAAUUUUUGGCUUACCAUUGCUACUUGGGUGGCGGAAAUAUACUUGUCGUCGAAGCGAAUUAGAGAUGCGACUAUUCGUAAAAAAUUGAUUUUAAAGAAUAAAAAUGAGAUAAUUAAAAAAUAUUAUUUUUAAAUGAAAAUAUCAAAAAAUUUAAAACGAGAGAGUUGAGAGAAUGAUGUGAAUGAAUAAAAAUAAAAUUUAGGGAUAUUUAUAGGGUAAAAAAAUAACCAUUGGUAUAUUUAAUUUUUUUUUUACUGUUGGUGCGGCAACAUACAAAAAGCUAUUGCUGAAAAGUUUGUCCAGCUAAACGAGCUUGCCAGAAAGCACGUACAGCUAGGCGCGCUUUCCUGACACCUGUACAAAAAGCUUACCCGACUGAACAUGCUUUCUAUUCAAUCCGACUUAUUUCCUUAAUUAAUUUUAAAAUCGGCCUUAAAAAUCUAAUUAAUUAAAAAACGAACUUUUGGACUUAUUUUGCCCUAAUUAAUAGCCAUGAAUUAUUUUGGAUAAAAAUCAAUGUUAAGAAUUAGUUAUUGAAAAAAAUUAUGCUUUUAAUUAGAGGGAUAAGUAUGAAAUUUAAAAUAAAGUGCUUUGGACUUUUUUUUAAUACUAAAGUUAACCUAAUAAAUAAUAUUUAAAUUGUUUAUUUUGUCAAUAACAUUAAUGCUGUAUUUGGAUUGAAUUAAUAUGUGGUUUAAAAUGUAUAAUAAAUACAAAACAAAUUGUAAUGUUAUUAAAAUACAUAUAUAAUGAAAUUUUAGUAAAUAAUAAGUUUUUUAGACUCGCUUGCUCAAAUAGAAUAAAGAGAAAAAAACAUCCCCACAAACAAACUGGAGGCAAGUAUCUGCAGCAAGUCUCGACAGUGUACAACAACAUUCCAUCGAAGGAAAGUGGAGAUGGUUGAAGACGAGCUGCAGCAAGUAUGGUGAUGUGGCGGAUGCUUUAAUCCCUACAAAAACAAGUGUAAAUGGAUCAAAAUUUGGGUUUGUAAGAUUCUGUAAUCUCGAUGAAGCAAUGGGUGUAGUUUCGAGGUUGAAUGGUGAAGUUAGGUUGGCAAGGUUUCAACCAAGAAAUACGUACUGAAGAAGGAAAACGGCACAAGAUCGAUUUGGCCAUGAUGCUGGGAAACAUGUAAAACUGAACCAAAGUGGGUUAAAAGAAGAUAGCUGCCCAAGUACCAAGUACUGAUGAUAACGAGCAAUGGAGGAAGCAAAAUCUGAAAGUGAUAAGGAGAAGAACGAGAAACGUUUGGUGGAUGAAUCAGGAAAGAAGGAAAAAGAUGCGAUGAUGAAGGAAGUAGGCCGUUCUUGAUAUUUUUAGCCCCCAACAAAACAAUAAAAUAAGGUUUUAGGUUUAUUAAAAAUUGUAGAAAUUUUUUUUUAGAUACCUUAAAAGUUAAUAAAAUAAUUUUUGGGCCUCUUAAAAGUAAAAAAAAAAAGAAGCUGUUUAGACCCAUUAAAAAUUAGUAAAAGAAUUUUCUUAACUUUUAAAAAUUAUAAAUGUUUCUUUAAGCCUCUUAACAACCGAAAAAUAAUAUUUUAAAUUUUUCAGUCUUAGGCCUUGAGCGGCCAUACUUCCAGACCACCUCAGAACCGGCCUAGAAGUAAGUAAUGAAAAUCUACACUAGAAAAAAGUUUAGCUGGUAAAACAACUCAACAUUUCACGAAAUUCAAAAGAAGAUAGAGAAACACCGAAGAUAGGUGGAUUUCAGGUAACGUGUUCUUUAUAGCUGAUAAAAUUGAAGGUGCGAAAUAAAGAGCACUUUGUAAGAGUAGCUGAGAUUGAUUGUAACACCCCUUACCCGAGACCGUUGCCGGAGUCGAGCAUGAGGCAUUACUUAGCUUAUCUUACUAAUUCGAAGCAUAAAAACUUGUUUUGAAAAUUAAUUUCACUAUUUACAGCAAUCUGUCCAAUCGCGCAGAAGUUACUAAAUUAAUUAUAAAUCGAGCUACGGAACUCAAAAUUUAACUCCGUAAAUUUUUCCUGAAACUAGACUCAUAUAUCUAUUUACCAUAAAAGUUUUAGAAUUUUUGAAUCAACCAAUUCGUACAGUUUAUUAGUUAAAGUCUCCCCUGUUUCACCACUUAACUGUCCUGACCUCUUGCCACUAAAAAUAAAUCUUCUCACUGUAGGAUUUUUAUAUGAAGUUCUUACUUGUUUCUAUAGAAAAUAGACUCAAUAAGGAAUCUAGAAAUAUAAACUAUAACUCAUAACCAUUUUUAUACAAUUUUUAAUGAUUUUCUAAACUCAGAACAGGGGACUCCAAAAACAGCUCUGACCCUGUCUCACUAAAAUUCACAUAUCUUAAAAUAUAAAUUUCCUUUUGCUACACCGUUAUUUUUCCAUGAAAAUAGACUCAACAAGAUUUAAUUCCAUAUAUCAUUCACCCUCUAAUUCAUUUUAUACCAUCCUAGGUAAUUUUUGAAAGUCACAUCACGGUGCUGCCUGAGUUCUGUUUCUUUGCAAAAUUUUAUCCUUUCAUGAUUUCCAUGCGUAAUUUAUCACCUAGACUUUCAUAACAACAAACACCUUCAUACUUAACCAUUUUAAUGACCAUACAUCAUAAAAUGCUUACACAUCAUUCGUUAGCAAAAUCAUAAUUACAAACAUGCAAAAUAACUAAAUCCCUAUACAUGCCAUAACUCAAACGUGUUUCAUCAUAAAAUACCGAGCAAUUGUGGUUGAUAGUGUGGACGAUCUCCGACUUCUUUAGGAUCCUUGAAGUAGCUUUGCAAUACUAUAAGAGAAAGAGAAAUAAAAGAAGUAAGCAUAAAGCUUAGUAAGUUUACUAGCAAAUAAAUAACAACAUUAAACACAAAUAAUUAAACUCAAGAGUCUAUAUCUCUAGUUUACUCUUUAGUUAAUCUCAUUCUAGUUCUCUUGCUUAUUUACUUAGUAUACUUGGGUGCAUAACUUACUCUUCUCUUGCUGCAUCGUUGAAUAUUAAUUGAUAAUAUAAUAAGUUCUUAACUCUUAUAACUUACCUGAGCUUGCCAUUUAUGUUUUUAACUAAACUUUCCUGAACAUGAUUCGUUUAUUAGCCCGUUGAGCUACAUUGGAACAAUAAGGAUACUCGGGUCUCUUCUGAUAAUAACAUGCCAAAGCCAUGUCCCAAACAUGGUCUUACAUGAGAUGUUCUCAUGUCGGUGCCCAUGCCAUGUCCAGACAUGGUCUUACGGGGGACCUCUCAUCUCGGUGCCAACGCCAUGUCCCAGACAUGGUCUUACAUGGGACCUCUCAUCUCGGUGCCAAUGCCAUGUCCCAGACAUGGUCUUACAUGGGACCUCUUUACCCGAAUGUCAUGACAUUCGUAUCCAGUACCAUCCUUAUGUAUCAACGAGACUUUUUAAUUUUAAUUUUCUAUCAUUUCAUGCUUGGAUCAUCAUCAAAUAAAUUCAUGAAAUAAAUUCAUAGUUGCUGGAAAAUAGCAGCAUUAAUAAUAAUUAUUGAAAUAUUGCAUUUAUUUACCAUAAACUUACCUCAGUACCAAAUAUAGCCCAAUUCACCAACUUAGUCUUCAACUUUAUUCUUCCCUUUGUCUAACCUCGAGUUUCGUUCUUCUUGAUCUAAAAUAGUAAAUUUAACUUAUUUAAUACUCACAUUUAUCAAAACAGCCGUCGACUCUAACUUUAUCAAAAUUACGAUUUUACCCCUAAACUUUUUCAUAAUUACAUUUUUCCCCAAGGCCCGAAAAUUAAACUUCAUAUCAUAUUAUUUUGUUUUAUGACAUGCUGAACAUUUUUCUCUUCUAUGAUAACAACAAAUUCUCACUCUAACACUUACUUAUGUACAUUAGAGAUUUUUACCGAUUAUGUCAACUUACUCGUUUUCGCUUAAAAUCGGCUAGCAAAAGUUGUUUAACAUAAUUUAUAGCUUUGUAAUCUAUCAUAAAACAUCAAAAUAAACACUUUUCACCUAUGAGUAUUUUUCAAAAUGUAAACCCUAGGUUAAAUUAUUACUAGAAUAAGCUAAAUUAAGCUAUCGAGACUCCAAAAACGUAAAUAACAUUAAAAACGGGGCUUGGGAUCACUUACUAUGGAGCUUGGAAGCUUGAAAACCCUAACUAUGACUUCUCCCCUUUCUGGUUUCUUCCAAAUGAAGAAGAUGAGCACAAUUUGCCAUCUUUUUCCCUUUUAAUUCAUUUUAAUUUCUAGAUUACCAAAUUGCCCCUAACUUAAAAAUUUCCUAUUUCACUUAUCUCAUGUCCUUUUUUGUCUACCAACUUAACCAAUGGUCUAAUUAUCAUAUAGGGACCUCCAAUUUAAAGCUUUAUAACAAUUGGACACCUCUAACAUGUAGAACUCAACUUUUGCACUUUUACAAUUUAGUCCUUUUGACUAAAUUGAGUGCCCAAACGUCAAAAUUUUCGAACGAAAUUUUCACAAAUCAUUUUUUGAAAUCAUAGACCAUAAAAAUAUAAUAAAAAUAAAAUUUUCUUCAUCGGAUUUGCGGUCCCGAAACUACUGUUCCGAUAACCUUGAAUUUAGGCCAUUACAUUGAUCAAGUAGUAAUUCCUGAUAGAUUUUAUUGCUGUGGGAAUGAGGUGAUGAUGUCGAGUCGAGAAGCCAUGAUAUAAAUGAAGAUCCAUCCAAAACAAACAUGGCUAAUGAUUUUCCGCAGAAUGCUUCAAGUGAAGAUGAAGGGUCGCGAACAAAGGUUGACGACGAUGAGCUGGAGGAUUCGGGGCAUGAAGUCGACAAUUUCAUUGGGAAUACUAACAACAAAUCUAAAGUUACGACAGAAAAUUUCAAGCAAUUGGAAAAAUAAAUGUUGAACAGGUGCUCAUUGUUAGACUUUACAAAAUAUUCAGAAAAGAAGACUUUCUUACUUUUUUAUUCUAUCUCAUUUAAUGCAUGCAGAAGACUCAUGCAUUUAUAGUCAUACGUACAAUGAAGAAACUGCUGAUAACAGACUAACUGCAAACGAUAACCAAAAUAACAGUUCUAACUACUUUGAUAACUACUCUAACACUCAUGAGAGAAGAUGGCUAGAGACAAUUAAUGCUAACGGCGGGUAAUUGGAAAAUAUUACCAUUGACAGGCAAGUUUUGUCGGAUGUGAGAGAAUCUGUUGAAUUAUGGGGUGAUGAUGGUAGAAAGUCAAAUAUUGAAGGUGACAUGAAAAGGGUGACGUUGCUUAGUAUUGAUAACAUGGGUGUAAACGAGACAGUUGAAGUGGAAGUAAGUAACCGGGAUAAGGAAGGUGAGUGUUGGCAAGUCCAAUUUCAAGAUGGAUCGGACACUAUCGUUGGGCCAUUUAGAUGGGAAUCAAGGUUCCGAUGAAACAGCUGAGGUGAUGGGUAGAGAUAAUACAACUGCAGGCAAGGAAUUGGUUGAAAUUACGAAGAGGAUAUUGAAGAGGAGUACAUAGCCAAAGGAGGCAGUAAAAGUUAAGAAAAUUGAGAAAGAAGAAACUUACGGCCAGUGGUGAACGCAUUCCGACUUCAAAAAUAGGAGGAAGGCGUUGAAGUUGGGUAAGAUUGUGGGACUACAAGUUGAUGGAGAUAAGGAUGGAGUUUUGAGAGAUUUGGCAGCAAUAGAGUUAGCUUUGUAGAAAGUUUGAUUUUGUUUUUCCUUUGGUGUACCAGUCAGUACCCUCAAACUUUCUUCUCUAAAAUAAGAUACUCUCUUGAUUUUGAAUGCUCUUUGGGUUCAUUGCCAAAGUCUUACAGACAGAUGAAACCACGGUGUUUGAAAUAUUAAAAAUUUGAUAAAAAAAAAUAGAAUUCAUUAAUAUGAAGUUAUUUGAAUUAAAUAUAUGUAAUAUUAUUGUACCCCAUAAUUUUACAUGAUAAUAUUAUGAUUAUAAUUAUUAUUAUUAUAAUUGCUGCUCAUGCACAGGAUUCGCUUUCACUGUAAAAAAUGUAUAAUAAUAGUCAAAAUUUAAACCUAUUAGAUUAAAAUAAAUAAUUAUAAUGCAUUUUAUAAUAUUAUUUUUUAAAAUUAUUUUUAGCUAAUUUUAAAUAAUAAAAUUUUAAUUAAAAAAUAAUUUUGAAAAAAAAAAACAGAAUGCCACAAAGAAUGAAUAUAUACCAUAUUAUAUUAUAUUAUAUUAUUUAUGAUAUGAUAUGAUUUCUUAUAAAUGUUUCAAACAACAUUAGUUGCCAUUUAAUCCACAAAGUUUUAAUUUUUAAGUGUCAAAGAAAAAACCUAAAACAUGAAAGUUAAUGUUUUUGUGGAAUGUGAAAAGAUUAAAAAAACCAAAUACUUAAUUUACAAUUUAGCAUUUAAAUUAUAUUUAUAUAUUAAUUAUUUUGGUACUUAAAAUAUCAGUUUAUCUAAAAAAUAUUUUAGAAGAAUUUCAAAGCUCGUUAUUUUAGAAGAAUAAGAAAAAGAAGAUUAAAAAACCAUAAUUUUAUAGAGCGAUUAAUAUCCUUGAAAUUUAAACAAAUUCUCACAUCCGUAGCGCACUCUCCACCAUGAAACAUUUCAAACUAAAUAUAGCCAAUUUUUGGGUUUUAACUGAUUCAUUUUUUAAUAUAAAUAUGGAACUUUAAUAGCAUAUUAUUCAACCUUCUGCUCAAGGGGCCAUAAGUGAUAAGCAAUAAGCAACUCCAGAACUUCAAAAAAGGUUUUCUUCUUUCUUGCUUUCUUUUCUUCAGGGGAAAGAAAGAGAGAAGAAGAAACUUCUUUUUGAAACAAAAAAAGUUGUUUAAAAAUGGCGAAUAAUGCUAUUAUUGGUAUUUGUGCGGUGUUCCUGGUGGCCUUGGUGGUAGCCGUGGUGGUGGGUGUUACGCACAUAAAAAACAAGAGCGAUGGUGAAGAGAUAUCAAGUUCGAACAAAGCUGUGCAAGCCCUAUGUCAACCCACGAAUUAUAAAGAGACGUGCCAGAAAAGCUUGGCGUCAUCAAAUUCUAGCGACGUUAAGGAGCUGAUAAGGACAGGUUUCCAAGCCGGGCUAGUCGAGAUAAAAAACGUGUUAGCCCAUUCAGUGACGGUCCAAGAGUUGAUCAAGGAUGAGAACAACAAAGCGGCACUUGGUGUCUGCCAAGAGGUGUUGGACUUAGCCAUUGAUGACUUUCAAAAGUCAUUCGACAUGCUAGGGGAAUACGACAUGAGCAAGAUUGGAAAAUACCUUUUGGAACUGAAGACCUGGCUAAGCGGUGCAUUCACGAGUCAACAGACAUGUAUAGACUCAUUCGCGGAAUCAAGUAACGAAUCAUCGCAGAAGAUGCAAUCAAUCUUGAAGACUAGCAUGGAGAUUACUAGCAAUGCUUUAGCCAUGCUUAAUGGGUUAUCCACCAUCGUGAAGGAACUUAACAUUCCAAACGUCGGCAACAUCGACACCACGGGGGUCAACCGUAAGCUUUUGUCGGCUGAGGAUAUGCCUGAGUGGAUUAGUCAAGCUGACCGAAAACUCCUUCAAGCAAAACCAAUGGAUUUGAAACCUAACGUUGUGGUUGCUAAAGAUGGUAGCGGGAAAUAUGAUACUAUUAACAAGGCAUUGGCUGAAGUCCCUGUGAAAAGUCCCGAUCGAUUUGUUAUUCACAUUAAGGCUGGUACUUACAAGGAGCAAAUCAACUUGACCAAGAAGAUGACUAAUGUUGUAUUCAUUGGUGAUGGCCCAACCAAGACCAUUAUCACAAAUGACAUUAGCGUCGCUAAGAAUCCACCGGUUAGAACAUACCGCACUGCAACUGUUGGUAAGUAGUAUUAUAUACAUAUAUAAGUUUUGGUGGUGAAGUGUGGUGGCUAACUAGUAUAUAUGUAUGCAUGUUUGUGAAAUAUUUUAGCUGCGGAUGGGGCUGGUUUCAUGGCCAAGGACAUUGGAUUCGAUAACUCAGCAGGACCCGAAGGUCAUCAAGCAGUUGCCUUUAGGGCUACUGCUGAUAGGGUCAUCAUGUUCAACUGCCAUUUCACUGGGGUACCAAGACACUCUUUACGCUCACAGAGAGAGACAAUUAUAUAGCAACUGUCUCAUCACCGGAACGGUGGAUUUCAUCUUCGGGGAUGCGGCGAGCAUUUUCCAGAACUGUAUGCUCGUCGUGAGGAAGCCAGGGCCAGGCCAAAACUGCAUGGUUACUGCACAAGGAAGGAAUGAUCUUGGAACAAACUCAGCCAUUGUGCUUCAAAACUGCACCAUCUCGGGGGCCCCUGAUUACAUCCCAGUGAAGGAUAAGAACAAGGCGUACUUGGGGCGUCCUUGGAAACAAUUCGCUAGGUCCAUCAUAAUGCAAUCUAGGAUCGACGACAUCAUUCAACCAGAGGGUUAUGCCCCCAUGACAGGCACCAUAGGAAUAGACACUUCUUUCAUUGCCGAGUUUGGAAACAGGGGACCCGGUGCCGAUACCAGCCGUAGGGUAGCAUGGAAAGGUAUCAAAAAGAUAGAUAUAAAUGAAGCCAACAAAUGGACUCCUCGCAUCUUUCUCGAAUCCGAGACUUGGAUUCCGAGUUCCAGCGUUCCCUAUAGUCCCGACAUGGUCCCUGGAGUCUAAGCAGCUUAUUAUCAAUACCAACGCCAUUAGUUUGCUUAUUAUCAUAUCAUUGUUGUAAUUAUGUCGUUUUUUACUAAUUAAUUAAACUGUUUUUUUUAUCUUUUAUCUAUCUAUGUAUAUAUAUUGAAUUCUUUGGUUUCCUAAUUGUUGUUUCCAUUCACUUAUUAAUGAUGUUUGCAAAACCCAAAAAUUAAGUCAACGUUUAAAUAUUAUUGAACUUAAUUUAAUAUAAUUUUUUUAAAGAUUAUUUGGAUUGAUAAUGUUGUUUCCCUAAUGUAGAUACAUUCUUUAAAUAGAUUUAAUAAAAUUAUUAUUAUCAAACUUAAUUGCAAGAUUUAAUAAAAAAAUAGUUUAUUUAUAAUAAUUACUAAUAUAAUAUUAAAAAUUAAUAAAAACAAUUAUAUUAUAAAAAAUCAAUCUUAUUUUUUAUUUUUUUAUAUGGACUUAAGCAAGCAUCCCACUCGUGGAAUCAAAGAUUUGAUCAAGCGGUAAAGAUUUUUGAAUUUGAGCAGAACAGAGAAGAACAUUGUGUUUAUAAACAUUUAGGGGAUGAAAAGGUGGUAUUUCUCUUUCUACAUGUCGGGUGAAAUUCUACUAGUUGAGAAUGAUGUAGGGAUAUUGUCAUCGUUUAAACUAUGGUUAACCUAACAAUUUAAGAUGAAGGACCUGUGAGAAGCUAAUUUUGUUCUGGGUAUUCGAAAGAACAAAGUGAUAGCACUAUCGCAAGAUUCAUACAUAGACAAGAUAUUGUAGCGCUAUGUUAUAAGUGAUUUGAAGAAGGGUAAUCAAUCUUCUAAUAUCGAGAAUUCACCUUUCUUUGGAGGAUUGUCUUAAGACACUGGAAGAAAAUGAGAACAUCAGAAAGAUUCAUUAUGCUUCAACAAUAGGAAGUCUCAUGUAUGCUAUGUUGUGCAUGCAACCAAAUAUCUAUUUUGCAGUAGGUUUGGUGAGUCGAUAUCAGGUGAAUCCAAGACUAAGACGCUGACAAACAAUUAGUACAAUUAAUAAUGAUCAAUGAAUAGAAAAUGUUAGGUUUUUUUGUCGGACUCGUCCGUCAGCUUAGUUAAGAUGCAUUGAUGGGCUCCUUGUAGUUCAUUUCUAUCUGUAUUAGUCCAACACCCAUCAUGUCAUUCUAUCUAUCUUGGAUUGUUUCUUUCUCUGAAUUUACCUUUUCAGCUUGCUUUAAUGACCGACAACUUUUCUGUAGGUCACAACGAUUGAUGAUUUGCAACGCCACAUGAUUACACAACCACCGUAGCCUGCACUUAGCAUUUUUGCCUCGUAAUAAGGGUGCAAAGUAUGGUUUAAACUUGUCACUUAUCAUGUCUCUGCUUGUGUCAUUGCUCCAAAGUGGCUUUUCAGAUAUACUUAAGGUAAUGGUUGGCACGGGUGUUGCUGAAUGAAUUAGCUAGUGAAUUUGUACUAAACUUCCUAAAUCUCAGAUCUACAAAUUUUUAAGUUAUUCUAUUUUUGGUUUACUAUAUUGCUUCAUUCGUUGACGACAUGUCUCUUGCAAUGUCAGUGCACUCCGUGAUGCUUAUCGCUCAUCUAUACUUAUUUACUGCCCAACUUGAUUGAGUCUGGCUAUAUGAGCAUAGGUUCUAUCUAUAUAUAUUUUUCCAAUUUUGUUCAACAUCCGAAAAAUUCCUAGGCCUUCAAAUCUCCAAGGUUCAUGGUUAAGGUCUAAAGGUAUGCAAUGGCUAAUCAAUUUAAGUUUAUCAACUAUGUCUAUUAAUUUUUUUCUAUUUUGCCUUGAAAAUUCAUGUAUCAACAGACACUCUUCUACUAGCUCGACCUUAAUUACCAAUGUUUCUAUUGGUUGAUCUGCAUUAUGCUACUAUUAUAUUUCAGCUUUGUUGGUAGAAUCAAAGGGUUUUAGGACAAUGAGUUUCAUGAUGGUCUAAUUCUUUGGCUUGCUAGCCAUUUUCCCCACUAGCUCUAUAUCUUCCCCUUCUGCAGUGGUGUUUAACUCGUCUGGAUACUAUUUUGUCUGCUGAGAUGACUAAUAGUCUAGGAUUUCUACUUCUUCACAAGCGUCUAUAAUUUCAUUCUCUUCUUUGCUCAACUCCGGACUUAGCACAUCAUGGUACCUUUUUGAUGGUAUAUCAUUGUGGUUGUUAUUAUCUUUGGAAAGAUCUUCAUACAACCCUUCUUCAUAAGUAUUUUGAUCAUAAUCAAAGUCCUCGUCAGACCACAUAUAAUAGAAAUCAUUCGUGACUUUGUGCUGACUGAUUAUUUUGUGCCUAGGAUUCCUAAGAAUAAACAAAUGUUAAAAAUUUUAAUUAACAAAAUAAUUUGAAAGUUGUAACUAUAAACCACAAAUUUCCUAAUUAUUCUUUUAAAAUGAAAAAAAUCAAAAUCAAUCUAGUGACGUUACCUCCCCGACAAUGGCGCCAACAACUUGACCACCUUCGGACGUACUAACGCCCAACGUGUGAAUACUGCAAUAAAAUGGAUAAUUACGAGAUGGUAUCCAUAAGUGUAUAGGUCGAGUUGUAAUAUAGUUUUUACAAAGAAGUAGGUGAGUACUCCGAGGAUCGUACCUAGGGGAAGCAAGUGUUAGAUUAAUUCUAACCUAAACAUUAAAAGAUCUAAUUAGUACUUUAAAUAAAUUAUACUACGAAAGUAUAUAAAAAGGGUUUUUAAAGGUUUUUAAUAAUAAUAAAAUCAAAUAACAUAAAAGAAAUAAAACUAAAUAGAUAGAAGAGUAGAGUAAAUUAAAUCUUGAUUAUGGGUGAUUAGCUCGCUUUAGUAAUCCUCAUCAACUGUCACUUCGGGUUCCUUGUCAAUCAACUAGUCACUACCCUAGCAGGAUCUUCUGAUCUUCCACUAACAUAACAAGUCAGCAAGAACUACUUAUCUUCUGACCUCACAGUUCAAACUGGUUUGGGGUAAAGGUGUUCACGAAUGGGAAGUGCCAAUUUUGGAUUAAUUCCCACUUAGAUGACUUUUCGGGGUUGCCAAACCUAGGUUUUUUUUUUAUGUUCUUCCUUUUCCAAAUAGUUGAUCCCUUGAGUAAUCCUACAAAAUAGUUAAUAGAUCGUACAUCCACUCGCUAAUCCCCCAUACAAGGACUAGUUCCUCAUAGCUUUCAUAGACAAUAUAAAAUAAAUAUAAAGAGAAAACAUGCUAAUUAAAACGACAAGAUAAAGUAAAUGAAAAAGUCUGGUUGUAUUGAUGUUAAUUGUGAAUCCCCAAUGUUUGAAUGCUUCCACAAUUCAUAUUUCUUGAAAUCAACAAGAACAACUAAAAGAAAUCUAAAACCUAAUAACGAAAGAAAUUUAAACUGAAUUUUACAAAGAGAACUUAGGCUAAAGGAUUGAUGUCCAUAACAAGUGACAAAUGAGUCUAUUUAUAGCCUUCAGGUGGCCAUCGUCCUUAACCCUAGGUUAGCCGACGUUUCUAAACUUGAAAGUUUGAUUGUGCAGACCAAAAUGCUCUUACUUUGUGUUUUGAUUUCAUCACAGAGUCAAUGUUGUGACACACCAGGAACUGUGUUGCGACAUAGCAACCAGUAUACUCCUCUGCAACUAUCUUUAGUCUGUGCCUCGACACCCUCAGUCUGUGUCACGGAAUUGAUGGUAGUCUUGAACUUUCUUCAUUCUGCUCAUUAUGUUGCGACAUCAAGCAUCGCAUGUUGCAACAUAGUGACCAGUAUCAGUUUAGUAUGCCUUCUAAAAGUCUCCUACACACUCACCAAGUGCGUUAGCUCUCCUUUAGGCCUUAUUCAACCCAUAAGGCUAAUAAAAGACUCAAUUUGCACAUUUUAUUAAAUGUAAAUAAAACUAAGAAAACUUAACUAAAACAUAACGAAAGUGCUUGUAUUCAAACUCUUCAAAUACGAAAACUAGUUUGAUAUGCUACACCGAAUUAUGGUAGAUCAGUUAUGUAUGCAAAAUAUAAAAGACAUAAUAGUGAGAUGUGAAAUUAACUUUAUUUAUUUAUUCAUCAUUCAAAUAAAUAGAAAAUAAUUACAUGUUCACCACAAUAUGGGCACAUUUCCCAACACUCUACUCGUCGGGAACGGCAAGACAUUCGCGUUGUCAGGAAGAGCUUUCGUUUCUCAUUCGGACAAGACUAUCUGUUUAGGCCGAAUAGAGGCAUUCUCCCACAUAUUUGAUGAAACAAUUUAAAUUUAAAUUUAUUUUGUUAUGGUUUUUGGGACUAUAAUAUUUUUUAAUUUUGGGUUAUGGCAUGUGUUCUUUUUAAGUUCGGAUUUUUGCAUGCAUUCAAUUUCAUUAAAUUGAACAAACCAAAUUAAUCUUCUUAACAUCAUAUAAAAUAUGGUUUAGAGUAAAAAAUGAUGGUUUCACCUAAACAAAAAUCAACUAAGUUUACCCAAAAAUGUCACAACACAUAUUAAAUUUGGACUUUUAAGUUUAACUCAAUGUAAAAUCUUAUGUUUUUGAUAAAUAUAUGACUACUACCUAAUUUUUCUAAAAAUCGGAAAAAUAAAAGUUACGAUAACUAAACAGUUCUACUAGACCAUUUUGGUGGCCAAUGUAGCUUUCAAGAUCAAUUAUAAUGCCUGGUUUGGGUCUAGGGAAGUUACAGUUACGGCUGAAAAUUUCAAGCAAUUGGAAAAAGAUGGAGUUGAACAGGUGCUCACGAGAGAAGAUGGCUAGAGACAAUUAAUGCUAACGGCGGGGAAUUGGAAAAAAUUACUAUUGACAAGCAAGUUUUGUCGGAUGUGAGUGAAUAUGUUGAAUUAUGGGGUGGUGAUGGUAGAAAGUCAAAUAUUGAAGGUGACAUGAAAGGGGUGACGUUGCUUAGUACUGAUAACAUAGGUGUAAACGAGACAAUUGAAGUGGGAGUAAAUAACUGGGGCAAGGAAAGUAAGUGUUGGCAAGUCCAAUUUCAAGAUGGAUCGGACACUAGCGUUGGGCUAUUUAGAUGGGAAUAAGGUUACGUUGAAAUAGCUGAGGUGAUGGGUGGAGAUAAUAUAACUGCAGGCAAGGAAUUGGUUGAAAUUACGAAGAGGAAAUUGAAUAGGAGUAUAUAGCCAAAGGAGACAGUAAAGUUUUUUUAGUUACGAGUUUAAGCCUCCACCAAAAAUUCAAUUACAUUAUUUAACGUUGAUCUGAUAACAAAAUGUCCUGCACCAAUUGCGCAAUCUCUAGCCCCUUUAGACAUCACCACAUCUACCGCCUUGUUCGUCAUCCUUGAAGGAGGCAACAAACUUAUUUAAUAAUAUGAUUUGAAUUAAAUAUAUGUUUAAUAUUACUGUACCGCAUUAUUUUACAUCAUAAUAUUAUGAUUAUAAUAAUUAUUAUUUCAAUUUCUACUCAUGCACAGGUUUGCUUUAACAAUAAAGAAUCCAUAUUAAUAGUCAAAAUUUAAACAUAUUAAAUAAAAAUAAAUAAUAAUGCAUUUUUUAAUAUUAUUUUUUAAAAUUAUUUUUAAAUCAUUUUAAAUAAUAACAAUUUAAUUAAAUAUAAAUUUGAGAAUAAAUAUAUACAUUAUUUUAUUAUAUUAUUUAUGAUAUGAUAUGAUAUGAUUUCUUACAAAUGUUUCGAACAACAUUAGUUACCAUUUAAUCCACAAAGCUUUAAUUUAUAAGUGUCAAAGAAAAAUCCUAAAACACCAAAGUUAAUUUUUCGUGGAAUGUGAAAAGAUUUUAAAAAACUAAUAUUUAAUUUACAAUUUAGCAUUUAAAUUAAAUUUAUAUAUUAAUUAUUUCGAUACUUACAAUAUCAAUUUAUUUCAAAAAUAUUUUACUCAAACAUAUAUAAAAUAAGAAAUAGAAGAUUAAAACACCAUAGUUUUAUAGAGCCAUUAAUAUCCAUAAAAUUUAAACAAAUUCUCACAUCCGUAGGGCCCUCUCCACCAUGAAACAUUUUAAACUAAAUGUGGACAUUUUUUCGGUUUUAACUAAUUCAUUUUUUAAUAUAAAUAUGGAACUUCAAUAGCAUAUUAUUCAAGCUUCUGCUCAAGGGGCCAUAAGUGAUAAACAAUAAGAAGCCCCACAACUUCAAAUAAGGUUUUCUUCUUUCUUGCUUUCUUUUCUUCAGGGGGAAAGAAAGAGAGAAGAAGAUACUUUUUUUGAAACAAAAAAAAGUUGUUUAAAAAUGGCGAAUAAUGCUAUUAUUGGUAUUUGUGCGGUGUUCUUGGUGGCCUUGGUGGUAGCCGUGGUGGUGGGUGUUACGCACAUAAAAAAUAAGAGCGAUGGUGAAGAGAUAUCGAGUUCGAACAAAGCUGUGCAAGCCCUAUGUCAACCCACGAAUUAUAAAGAGACGUGCCAGAAAAGCUUGGCGUCAUCAAAUUCUAGCGACGUUAAGGAGCUGAUAAGGACAGGUUUCCAAGCCGGGCUAGUCGAGAUAAAGAACGUGUUAGCCCAUUCAGUGACGGUCCAAGAGUUGAUCAAGGAUGAGAACAACAAAGCGGCACUUGGUGUCUGCCAAGAGGUGUUGGACUUAGCCAUUGAUGACUUUCAAAAGUCAUUCGACAUGCUAGGGGAAUACGACAUGAGCAAGAUCGGAAAAUACCUUUUGGAACUGAAGACCUGGCUAAGCGGUGCAUUCACGAGUCAACAAACAUGUAUAGACUCAUUCGCGGAAUCAAGUAACGAAUCAUCGCAGAAGAUGCAAUCAAUCUUGAAGACUAGCAUGGAGAUUACUAGCAAUGCUUUAGCCAUGCUUAAUGGGUUAUCCACCAUCGUGAAGGAACUUAACAUUCCAAACGUCGGCAACAUCGACACCACGGGGGUCAACCGUAAGCUUUUGUCGGCUGAGGAUAUGCCUGAGUGGAUUAGUCAAGCUGACCGAAAACUCCUUCAAGCAAAACCAAUGGAUUUGAAACCUAACGUUGUGGUUGCUAAAGAUGGUAGCGGGAAAUAUGAUACUAUUAAUAAGGCAUUGGCUGAAGUCCCCGUGAAAAGUCCCGAUCGAUUUGUUAUUCACAUUAAGGCUGGUACUUACAAGGAGCAAAUCAACGUGACCAAGCAGAUG